GACGAACGCUGGCGGCGUGCUUAACACAUGCAAGUCGAACGAAGUGGCGAACGGGUGAGUAACGCGUAAUCAACCUGCCCUUCAGAGGGGGACAAAAGUUGGAAACGACUGCUAAUACCGCAUACUGCAGGAGGGGAUGGCGUGGGAUUAGCUAGUUGGAGGGGUAACGGCCCACCAAGGCGAUGAUCAGUAGCCGGUCUGAGCGGAUGAACGGCCACAUUGGGACUGAGACACGGCCCAGACUCCUACUGGAGGCAGCAGUUGGGAAUCUUCCUCAAUGGACGAAAGUCUGACGGAGCAACGCCGCGUGAGUGAUGACGGCCUUCGGGUUGUAAAGCUCUGUUAAUCGGGACGCGGUACCGGAAUAGAAAGCCACGGCUAACUACGUGCCAGCAGCCGCGGUAAUUC
Molecule: ribosomal RNA, 408 nt
Filed under: uncultured bacterium
Lineage: Bacteria
Description: partial 16S ribosomal RNA
Rfam family: Bacterial small subunit ribosomal RNA
Source: RNAcentral